Molecule: long non-coding RNA, 1812 nt
Organism: Bos taurus (domestic cattle)
Lineage: Eukaryota; Metazoa; Chordata; Mammalia; Artiodactyla; Bovidae
Source: Ensembl
GUUCAAGGCUCGGGACACGGCGGCGCGUCCAGGCCGCUGUGGGCGGCUGGUAGGGGCCGGCGUUAUCCGAGGCCAGCGUUUGGCUUUUCUGGCUCAAGGUGGCCUGGGCCGUCCUCAGGAAACUUCCGCACGCUGAGGAAAGCCGCGAAGCGGCCCUGCCCCUUAAGGGAGAGGAGCUGCGGGGACCAAACGACGCUUCGCAGUGUAGAGGAGCUAAGUACUAUGAUUGGACUUGUCAAAAGGAAAAUAGGAUCUUAUGCUGCUAAACAUGUAUGCUUGAAGAAUGGGGAAUAACCAUCUCUACUUUCCAAAGCCAAUGUGAGGCUUAAGUACCUGAAAUGUAUGAGUGAUCGGUAGUUGAGUUGAAGAACCCAGAUGAAAUUGUCUCUAUGCCCAGAUGUGAACUUGCCUAUGACAUAGCCUCCAUGAAGGAAUUCAGACAUCACUGUGGAACACAGCUCUCCUAUAGGACAGCCCUGCUGUCCUUCAUAUGGUCCUAGGAAUUGACUCACGGCGCUGGAGGCCCAUAGACUUCCCUCGGGACAGAUCCCAUCUUCUCUGCCACAUCCAGAGAAGCCUCCUCAUGAGGCUGUUAUUGACCUGCACAUCAGAACAAUGGUUCUGGGAUGCUGAAGCCCCUAGUGCCCACUCGGGAAACCAAAUCACUUGAAAUUAACAAGUCAUUUGGAGUUAACAACAGCAACAACAAAUCAAUAGCUAACCUUUUGGAAUACUAACAGAUAGUCAUGUACGGAUGUGAGAGUUGGACCAUAAAGAAGGCUGAGCACCAAAGAAUUGAUGCUUUUGAACUGUGGUGUUGGAGAAGACUCUUGAGAGUCCCUUGGACUGCAAAGAGAUCAAAUCAGUCAAUCCUAAAGGAAAUCAACCCUGAAUAUUCACUGGAAGGAUUCAUGCUGAAUCUGAAGCUCCAAAACUUUGGCCACCUGAUGCGAAGAACUGACUCAUUGGAAAACACCUUGAUGCUGAGAAAUAUUGAAGACAGGAAGAGAAAGGGAUGACAGAGGAUGAUGAGAUGGUUGGAUGGCAUCACCAACUCAGUGGACAUGAGUUUGAGCAAGCUCCGGGGGUUGGUGAUGGACAGGGAGGUCUGGCGUGCUGCAGUCCAUGGGGUUGCAAAGAGUCAGACACACCUGAGUGACUGAAAUGACUGAAAGUGACUGAGCACACAGUUACCAAGACAACAGCAGCGCUCCUCCUUCUUUUGGAUCUGUUUCCAAGCUGAGAACAAUAAAUAUAAAAGAUCAGAAAGAGGGAAAAGCAACGAGUCAUUCAAGGCAUUCGAAUUAUUCACCCUGGAGAAGAGAAUGCUAGGAGGUGCCAAUUAUAUUGUUUUGGUCUAUUAAAGGUUACUACGAUGCUGGAAAAGGACUCAUUCUUUUGAGGUAAUCCGGAGCCAAAUGAACUGAAACUUUUUUCAGAAGGAGGAGAUGUGAUGGUAUGAGAGCAAAAGAAGACCGAAAGUAAAAUUCCUUUUGUUUGAUUUGAUGGUGUGGGUGAGCAGCCUUGGGAACAGUGAACACACCUCCUCCUCUUGUUUGUGUGAGUGACUUUCCCGACUGAGACACAGUAACACCCAGAGGAAAUCAUCUAACUGUUAUUGGUAAUUAAAUGGAGAAUGUCAAGUCUCCCAGAGGACCAUUGCUCAUUGGAGAAGUGGAGAGCCAUUUCUGUUUGCAGUUACUUACUGGUGGAAAAUAAAAUGAGCCCUGUUUUGAUGAAGUGUCCUGGUGCUAGUGAAACAUUCCAUGAAGGGCAUUGUCUCCAAGACUUACUGAAUCCAUUCUACUGAAC